GGCUGCGGCGACUCGCGAAGGGAGAACCAAAACAAACAUGGCUCGGCGUGGUGCGGCGGUCGAGCCUCCCCAGGAAGAACAAAAUGCUCUCAGCUACAUGCAGCCGGAGAUUCUGCCCAUACAAAUCAUGAUCGAUGUGCUUAAAGAGCGAGGAAUGAAAGCAGCUUCACUCCAAGGGACAGACAGAGGUCACAUUAUAUGCCUCUUCCACAAACAUGUUUGCCCCAAACAUCGACGGGAUUACCGAGAGAACAGGAGGGGGAAGAUAAUGAUGGCACAGAGAAGUAAAAGAGAAAAAGGCUCUGUUGAUGAAAAUUGGAAAAAAAUGGUUAUGGAUUCCAAAGAAAGAUCACUGUCAUCAUCAAAUGCUUCUGACUAUGCCAGUGCCGAGCGCCUCAAGCCUCCUCCAUCGUGCAUUAACACAGAAAGAAAGACUAUUAAGUUAGGUGGUUCCAACAAGACUUCUGCAUCUAACAUGGACUUUAUUGUGGUUAAGAGAAGAAGUUCAGAAGAUAGUGACCAUGGACCAGAAAAGUUGAGAAAAUUGUCAGGAGAUAGAGACUCGGAGCAGAAUAAAAGAAAAGAUAAUGAGCCUCAUGAAAAUUCCAAAAAGAUGAGAAAAGAUACAGAGGAUGAGAAUGAUAAGACAUGGAAAUAAUGAUUUAACCCAUUGGAUCUGGGUGCUUUGCUGCCAGCACGCGGCCCAAAAUCCAGGCUUUAGGCUUACUUGAUUGGCAACUCUCCCGGAUGUGUGGUUUAUAGGCUGGACCUCACAGGAGAAUGGGAAGAAAAUGAAACAUGACAGAAAACCCAUCACAUGGCCGUGAUUUUGUCAUUGGUAUUUAUUAUAAGAGAAUGCAUUGAUAUAAGGCAGCAAGUAGGAAAUGGAAACGACUGACAAGAGAAAAUGUUUAGCCAGCUCUUUAGUAUGGUGAAGGAAAUAAAUGCUGAUAACACAAUUUAUAGAGUGGAACAUAGAGUCUGCAUCUGCUAAGAAGUGCUUUGGGGGGAAAUUCAGUGAUUGUGUAUAUAUACACCAAAGCUUAGAAGAAUAUUCUUUACUGCUUAAACUUGUAUAAGUAAGGAACUCAUGCAUAGAAACAUUUCUCUAAUAGCCAAAAAGCAAAUAUUUGUAUAGUAUGUCCAUGAUACUCUUUGAAUAUAGAACCCUACUUACAGGCUAGUGGUGGAAAAUAUUUUUGGGUUCUUUAUAGUAUACCUGUAAUGCGGUUACUCUUUAUUUUAUUUUUAAGAAUUGAUUUAGACAUGAAUUACACAGCACUAAUGGCUUAUAUAAAUGAACUAAUUGAUGAUUGCAUUCUUGCUAUUGGACAACAGGGAUAAUAGAACUGUAACUGUGCACCUACAACCCACUCAUGUGAUAUGUAGAAUAAAAACUUUGGAAUGAU
Penaeus chinensis is the source of this 1409-nucleotide RNA transcript. RefSeq lists it as uncharacterized. The record is from RefSeq and is a predicted model, not a curated record. The transcript is spliced from 5 exons. NCBI's taxonomy places the organism in Eukaryota, Metazoa, Arthropoda, Malacostraca, Decapoda, Penaeidae.